ACGGAAGGCAGCAGUGGGGAAUAUUGCACGAUGGGGGAAACCCUGAUGCAGCGACGCCGCGUGAAGGAAGAAGUAUCUCGGUAUGUAAACUUCUAUCAGCAGGGAAGAUAAUGACGGUACCUGACUAAGAAGCCCCGGCUAACUACGUGCCAGCAGCCGCGGUAAUACGUAGGGGGCAAGCGUUAUCCGGAUUUACUGGGUGUAAAGGGAGCGUAGACGGAACGGCAAGUCUGAUGUGAAAGGCUGGGGCCCAACCCCGGGACUGCAUUGGAAACUGUCGGUCUUGAGUGCCGGAGGGGUAAGCGGAAUUCCUAGUGUAGCGGUGGAAUGCGUAGAUAUUAGGAGGAACACCAGUGGCGAAGGCGGCUUACUGGACGGUAACUGACGUUGAGGCUCGAAAGCGUGGGGAGCAAACAGGAUUAGAUACCCUGGUA
Molecule: ribosomal RNA, 434 nt
Filed under: uncultured Blautia sp.
Lineage: Bacteria; Bacillati; Bacillota; Clostridia; Lachnospirales; Lachnospiraceae
Description: partial 16S ribosomal RNA
Rfam family: Bacterial small subunit ribosomal RNA
Source: RNAcentral